Molecule: long non-coding RNA, 2151 nt
Organism: Onychostruthus taczanowskii (white-rumped snowfinch)
Lineage: Eukaryota; Metazoa; Chordata; Aves; Passeriformes; Passeridae
Exons: 3
Source: RefSeq, a predicted model, not a curated record
GUUCACUUAUAAAAGUCCUGGCUGUCCGUUUGGAAACAGUGGCAGGACGCUGUCCUGAAGUGCCUGGGAACUCUAGAAGCCUGUAAACAGUCUGCAAUGCCUCGCGCUACGCUGUCACCGGCGGUUCAUGGAGAAAGGCGGAGAGAGAAGUGCUUCGAGGGACUCCGGUGGGAUGGACCGUGUCUCCACCCUAUGGAGAGAUCUGGGGAGCAUCAGCCUGCUGCAGUGUGGUGGGAGAUGCACUGGGACCCCUGCAUCCAGCGCUGCUCCAAGUGCCUAAGGCUACAGUUUUCUGAUGAACUCAGAGUCUUCCCAGGGAAGUUCAGGACUGUGAGCCAGAGGCUGGAGGGAGACUCUUUCCUGAGAUGUCACUGCUGAGCUUCCACCUUGCUGCUAGGAGAAGGACCUUGGAUCUCCCAUUGCUUUGACUUUCAGAGGAUCAUGUUCCUGUACCUCUGAACCAUCAGGGCAUGCCAAAGCUGCUUUUUAGCAUGUAUCUGGGGUUUCUUCUCACCAGUGUUGCCUCUGUGCCAUCCAAGGCAGGUAGGAAUAGGAUAAAGGAAGGAAUGUGAAUUUUAUUGGUCUUAGCUCCUGUUAGAGUUUCAGCUCUAGUAUGGCAAACACUGGCAAGAGGCAUUUCAGCCACAGAAGCUGGACUGAUCCCUCCUCCUCCUUGCACGGAUCCUCUUGGUGAGCUCUUUGCCCUGCUGCCCCAGGAAGGUCACCCGUGGUGCUCCAACCUUAUUGUUCCGUGUGCAGAGAAUCUCAAUCAGCAGCGACUCAUCUGUCCCAGCUCCCUUCAUCGCCUUCCGAAGCUCUCGGGCCUCGUACUCGCAGGGCAAGUCCAGCAAAGCCAGCACAGCCUUUUCAAAAUUCCCACUCAGGUCUCCCUUCAGGUCCUCUUCCAUCUCCUGUGGGGGCAGUCAGGAGGGUUAGUGCAAAAGCUGAGGUGAGAUUAGAGGAUUUCUUACUUUGUUUAUUAUCAUUGUCUAAUGACUUAAAAGUGCCUUCUAUACCAAAAAGUGACAAAACAAUUUUUAAAAGGCCUUAAAAUACACAGACUUUUUUUUAGAAGCUAAGUUCCCUAAAAAUGUUGGUUUCAGAUUGACUGAAAUGAUUGCCCCAUCUUCAAACACCAGCCAAUAUCAGUCUAGUUAUGACUCUUACUUGUGUAAACAAAUGCAAACUAUUGUUUUGAAAAACUUAACAGGAGUUUAAUCUGAAACAAUAUGUGGAAGCUUCCUCAUUCAAAAGAGCUGCCACACAGGGGAUCAAACUAAGAAUCUUCUCUGUCAGUUUUGGUUAAACCUGACGUCCUGGAAAAAGCAGCAGCUUUCUGCAAGGUGCUUUUAUGCCAAGCAAACAGCAUUUUUACACACACACCCCCACAUCAACCUUAAAUCCAAAUUCAGUAAGACCCUGGAGGAGAGCUGGCUGGUGCAUGCUGAGGAUGCCAGCUGAGGGUGUGUUUGAACUGUCUGCAGUUAACAUAUCCUGCAGCAUGGGAAGCACUUGACAAAGUCAGAACCCUGAAUGAGAAGUCCAGCUCUAUUAUGCUCAAGUUCCUGCUUGCACAACUGCACGUGAACACUCAACUGCUCCAGUCAGAGGCUGCCAUCUGUGCUGGAGCAGUUUCAACACACCCCACAAACGCUGCAAGUUCCUGGAGCAGCAGGAGGGAGAUGGUACCACUUGUGCCUCCUUCCCAGGAGAUUCAGCCUGCCCAGGAAAGUAGAAGUGUUCCUGUGAGCUGAUGACACUGUGAUGUUUCAUGGCAUUUGAUAAUUUCUAAUGCCUAUAUGUAUUAACUCUCAUUAUAGAACAAAAUCUAUAGUAUUUACAGUAACCAAAAUCUGUAUCAUGCUUGCUGUAAAUUUUACAUAUAGAAGGUUUUCAUUUGUCUUCAGUGCUGUCUUAUUGACACUGAUUAAUGAGCAAGCAGACACCAAGAAAAUACCAGUUUAAUAAUAAGGUCUGCAGGAUUCAGUUGUUUACUGAAACAAUAUUUUAGAAGCUUUAUUUUUCUUACACACAAAAUCAUCAGGGCAGUUUAUGCCUCCUGCAGAAAUCAAGUGCCCAAUGAAACUUCUUAGUUUUGCAACAUGUUCCACUUCAUCACUGGAAGAAAUCAUUAUUAUCUCUAUUAAAUUC